Long non-coding RNA from Myotis davidii, 609 nucleotides. RefSeq lists it as uncharacterized. The record is from RefSeq and is a predicted model, not a curated record. The transcript has 3 exons. NCBI's taxonomy places the organism in Eukaryota, Metazoa, Chordata, Mammalia, Chiroptera, Vespertilionidae.
CGGGGGGAGGGAGGAAGGGAGGGACACCGGAACCGGAAGAGAGGAGGCGAAUGUCGCGCCGAGCAUAGAGCUGCCCUUCCGGGAGCUGGACUCAGGGGGGCGGGGCCACAGCGACGCCCUCUGGCCGGCAGUCGUCAUCCGCCUUCAGCCCAGUCGGACGCGGCUGAGAUUCCAGGGAAAUAAAACCCGGCGAUUUGCUCAAGUCUGGUUCCUUCCGCAGGAAUUCUGUUCAGAGGGUUCCGCGUGGGCUCAGAAACCUGCAUUUUAACAAGCUGCCCAGGGAUCGCCCUUAGAGAAACACUCAUCUAGUUUCAUUUACCUGAGUGGUGUGCUGUUUGGUAGGAAUAAGUUAGAGAUUUGAAGGUUAAUUGGUCUUUUGGGAAAACAUCAAAUAAACAGACCCAGUAUAUUAAAACAAAGGCAAGAGUUAUUUCUUCCGGAGCGGGCACUGUAUGUAUGCUGAGGUACUAUUAUCCUUAUCUUAGAAAAGAAGAAAUUGAGGCACAGUACAGGGUUACUGUAUUUUUGGAGGAUAGACUUCUGGAAGUGGAUUUGCUACCGAAAAGUAUGACCAUUUAAAAUUUUGCUAGAAGCGGUUUGGCUCAGUGG